This 253-nucleotide ribosomal RNA is filed under the name uncultured bacterium. Its description in RNAcentral is "partial 16S ribosomal RNA". It matches the Rfam family "Bacterial small subunit ribosomal RNA", at positions 524 to 776 of the family's 1533-position model. The record is from RNAcentral.
UACGUAGGGGGCAAGCGUUGUCCGGAUUUAUUGGGCGUAAAGAGCGUGUAGGCGGCCAUACAGGUCAGCUGUGAAAACUCGAGGCUCAACCUCGAGACGUCGGUUGAAACCGUAUGGCUAGAGUCCGGAAGAGGAGAGUGGAAUUCCCGGUGUAGCGGUGAAAUGCGCAGAUAUCGGGAAGAACACCCGUGGCGAAGGCGGCUCACUGGCCCGAUACUGACGCUGAGGUGCGAAAGCGUGGGGAGCAAACAGG